RNAcentral lists this ribosomal RNA (461 nucleotides) under uncultured bacterium. RNAcentral's name for it is "bacterial SSU rRNA". It matches the Rfam family "Bacterial small subunit ribosomal RNA", at positions 28 to 489 of the family's 1533-position model. The record is from RNAcentral.
GACGAACGCUGGCGGCGUGCCUAACACAUGCAAGUCAACUUGACUGAAGGAGCAAUCUGACAGUAGAGUGGCGCAAGGGUGCGUAACGCGUAAGUAACUUGCCCAAGGUAAGGAAUAACGUCGAGAAAUCGGCGCUAAUACCUCAUAAUGCAGCGGAUCCGCAUGGAUAUGUUGUUAAAGGUUUACCGCCUUGGGAUAGGCUUGCGUCUGAUUAGUUAGUUGGUGUGGUAACGGCACACCAAGGCUACGAUCAGUAACUGGUCUGAGAGGAUGAUCAGUCACACUGGAACUGAGACACGGUCCAGACUCCUACGGGAGGCAGCAGUGAGGAAUAUUGGGCAAUGCUCGAAAGAGUGACCCAGCAACGCCGCGUGGAGGAUGAAGGUAUUCUAUAUCGUAAACUCCUGUGAGAGCAGACGAAAGACAGAUUAUUAAUCUGGAUGACUGUAUGCUCAGAGGAA